GGGUUGUGAGGUUAAGCGACUAAGCGUACACGGUGGAUGCCCUGGCAGUCAGAGGCGAUGAAGGACGUGCUAAUCUGCGAUAAGCGUCGGUAAGGUGAUAUGAACCGUUAUAACCGGCGAUUUCCGAAUGGGGAAACCCAGUGUGUUUCGACACACUAUCAUUAACUGAAUCCAUAGGUUAAUGAGGCGAACCGGGGGAACUGAAACAUCUAAGUACCCCGAGGAAAAGAAAUCAACCGAGAUUCCCCCAGUAGCGGCGAGCGAACGGGGAGGAGCCCAGAGUCUGAAUCAGUGUGUGUGUUAGUGGAAGCGUCUGGAAAGGCGCGCGAUACAGGGUGACAGCCCCGUACACAAAAAUGCACAUACUGUGAGCUCGAUGAGUAGGGCGGGACACGUGGUAUCCUGUCUGAAUAUGGGGGGACCAUCCUCCAAGGCUAAAUACUCCUGACUGACCGAUAGUGAACCAGUACCGUGAGGGAAAGGCGAAAAGAACCCCGGCGAGGGGAGUGAAAAAGAACCUGAAACCGUGUACGUACAAGCAGUGGGAGCACGCUUAGGCGUGUGACUGCGUACCUUUUGUAUAAUGGGUCAGCGACUUAUAUUCUGUAGCAAGGUUAACCGAAUAGGGGAGCCGAAGGGAAACCGAGUCUUAACUGGGCGUUAAGUUGCAGGGUAUAGACCCGAAACC
This 688-nucleotide ribosomal RNA is filed under the name Escherichia coli. Its description in RNAcentral is "partial 23S ribosomal RNA". It matches the Rfam family "Bacterial large subunit ribosomal RNA", at positions 1 to 722 of the family's 2925-position model. The record is from RNAcentral. Lineage: Bacteria; Pseudomonadati; Pseudomonadota; Gammaproteobacteria; Enterobacterales; Enterobacteriaceae.